This 469-nucleotide ribosomal RNA is filed under the name Salmonella enterica subsp. enterica serovar Paratyphi A. RNAcentral's name for it is "bacterial SSU rRNA". It matches the Rfam family "Bacterial small subunit ribosomal RNA", at positions 924 to 1398 of the family's 1533-position model. Lineage: Bacteria; Pseudomonadati; Pseudomonadota; Gammaproteobacteria; Enterobacterales; Enterobacteriaceae. The record is from RNAcentral.
CACCCGCGGACAUGUGGUUUAUUCGAUGCACGCGAAGAACCUUACCUACUCUUGACAUCCACGGAAUUUAGCAGAGAUGCUUUAGUGCCUUCGGGAACCGUGAGACAGGUGCUGCAUGGCUGUCGUCAGCUCGUGUUGUGAAAUGUUGGGUUAAGUCCCGCAACGAGCGCAACCCUUAUCCUUUGUUGCCAGCGGUCCGGCCGGGAACUCAAAGGAGACUGCCAGUGAUAAACUGGAGGAAGGUGGGGAUGACGUCAAGUCAUCAUGGCCCUUACGAGUAGGGCUACACACGUGCUACAAUGGCAUAUACAAAGAGAAGCGACCUCGCGAGAGCAAGCGGACCUCAUAAAGUAUGUCGUAGUCCGGAUUGGAGUCUGCAACUCGACUCCAUGAAGUCGGAAUCGCUAGUAAUCGUGGAUCAGAAUGCCACGGUGAAUACGUUCCCGGGCCUUGUAAAACCCCGCCCGUA